UAUGGGGUUUCUAUGGGGUACCUGUGGGGUUAUUAUGGGAUGUCCGUGGGGUCAUUAUGGGGUCAUUAUGGGGUUAUUAUGGGGUUAUUAUGGGAUGUCCAUGGGGUUAUUAUGGGAUAUAUCUAUGGGGUUAUUAUGGGAUGUCUAUAGGAUUUCUAUGGGAUAUCUAUGGGAUUAUUAUGGGCUAUCCAUGGCGUUAUUAUGGGAUGUCCAUGGGGUUUCCAUGGGGUUAUUAUGGGAUGUCUAUGGGCUAUUAUGGGAUAUACCUAUGGGGUUAUUAUGGGAUGUCCAUGGGGUUUCUAUGGGGCUAUUACGGGAUGUCUGUGGGAUAUAUCCAUGGGGUUAUUAUGGGAUACCUAUGGGGUUAUUAUGGGAUACCUAUGGGACAUACCUAUGGGGUUAUUAUGGGAUGUCCAUGGGACAUACCUAUGGGGUUAUUAUGGGAUGUCCACGGGCUAUUAUGGGACAUAUCCAUGGGGUUAUUAUGGGAUGUCCACCGGUUAUUAUGGGACAUACCUAUGGGGUUAUUAUGGGAUGUCCACGGGCUAUUAUGGGCUAUCUAUGGGGUUAUUAUGGGAUGUCCAUGGGGUUUCUAUGGGGUUAUUAUGGGAUGUCCAUGGGAUAUAUCCGCGGGGUUAUUAUGGGAUGUCCAUGGGCAAUACCUAUGGGGUUACUAUGGGAUGUCCAUGGGCUAUUAUGGGAUAUCUAUGGGGUUAUUAUGGGAUAUAUCCGUGGGGUUAUUAUGGGAUGUCCAGGGGGUUAUUAUGGGAUAUCUAUGGGAUAUCUAUGGGAUUAUUAUGGGAUAUCUACGGGGUUAUUAUGGGAUAUCUAUAGGAUAUAUCCAUGGGGUUAUUAUGGGAUGUCCAUGGGAUGUCUAUGGGCUAUCUAUGCGGUUAUGAUGGGAUAUCUGUGGGACAUACCUAUGGGGUUAUUAUGGGAUGUCCAUGGGCUAUUAUGGGAUGGAUACACCUAUGGGGUUAUUAUGGGAUGUCCAUGGGGUCUCUAUGGGGUACCUGUGGGGUCAUUAUGGGAUGCCCAUGGGCUAUUAUGGGCUAUACCUAUGGGGUUAUUAUGGGAUGUCCAUGGGUUAUUAUGGGCUAUCUAUGGGGUUCCUAUGCGAUGUCCAUGGGCUAUCCAUGGGGUUAUUAUGGGAUGUCCAUGGGCUAUUAUGGGCUAUACCUAUGGGGUUACUAUGGGAUGCCCACGGGCUAUUAUGGGAUGCCGCAGCUGCGCGCCGCCCUGUCGCUGUCGGUGCUGA
This 1258-nucleotide long non-coding RNA is filed under the name Phasianus colchicus (ring-necked pheasant). RNAcentral describes it as "lncRNA (ENSPCLG00000017879.1)". Lineage: Eukaryota; Metazoa; Chordata; Aves; Galliformes; Phasianidae. The record is from RNAcentral.